This 492-nucleotide ribosomal RNA is filed under the name uncultured bacterium. RNAcentral describes it as "partial 16S ribosomal RNA". It matches the Rfam family "Bacterial small subunit ribosomal RNA", at positions 29 to 507 of the family's 1533-position model. The record is from RNAcentral.
AGUGAACGCUGGCGGUGGGCCUAACACAUGCAAGUCGAACGGCAGCACAGUAAGAGCUUGCUCUUACGGGUGGCGAGUGGCGGACGGGUGAGGAAUACAUCGGAAUCUACUUUUUCGUGGGGGAUAACGUAGGGAAACUUACGCUAAUACCGCAUACGACCUACGGGUGAAAGCAGGGGAUCUUCGGACCUUGCGCGAUUGAAUGAGCCGAUGUCGGAUUAGCUAGUUGGCGGGGUAAAGGCCCACCAAGGCGACGAUCCGUAGCUGGUCUGAGAGGAUGAUCAGCCACACUGGGACUGAGACACGGUCCAGACUCCUACGGGAGGCAGCAGUGGGGAAUAUUGGACAAUGGGCGCAAGCCUGAUCCAGCCAUACCGCGUGGGUGAAGAAGGCCUUCGGGUUGUAAAGCCCUUUUGUUGGGAAAGAAAAGCAGCAGGUUAAUACCCCGCUGUUCUGACGGUACCCAAAGAAUAAGCACCGGCUAACUUCGUG